AUGGCGCCACCGCUCCCAGUGCCUCCCAGUUGCUCCCAGUCCAUCCCAGUAUGGCCCAGUAUGGCUCCCAGUCCAUCCCAGUAUGGCCCAGUAUGGCUCCCAGUUGCUCCCAGUAUGGCUCCCAGUUGCUCCCAGUAUGGCCCAGUAUGGCUCCCAGUUGCUCCCAGUUGGUCCCAGUAUGGCCCAGUUGCUCCCAGUAUGGCCCAGUAUGGCCCCAGUAUGGCCCAGUCCAUCCCAGUAUGGCUCCCAGUAUGGCCCAGUCCAUCCCAGUAUGGCUCCCAGUUGCUCCCAGUUGCUCCCAGUCCAUCCCAGUAUGGCUCCCAGUUGUUCCCAGUCCAUCCCAGUAUGGCCCAGUAUGGCUCCCAGUGCCUCCCAGUCCAUCCCAGUAUGGCUCCCAGUGCCUCCCAGUCCAUCCCAGUAUGGCCCAGUAUGCCUCCCAGUUGCUCCCAGUUGCUCCCAGUAUGGCCCANACUUUCACUUUCACUUUCUCAUUCGCCUUCACUUCCUCAUUCCCUUCUAUUUCCACUUCCCUCGCUUUCAUGUCCGCUUCCGCUCCCACUUUUACUUUCACUUUCACACUUUCACUUCCUCUACAUUCACGCCCACUUCCACUUCUGCUCCCAUUCCCAUUUUUACUUUCACUUUCACUUUCUCACUCACCUUCACUUCCUCAUUCACUUCUACUUCCACUUCCCUUACUUCCAUCUCUGCUUCCGCUCCCACUUUUACUUUCACUUUCACACUUUCAGUUUCACUUCCUCUACAUUCACGCCCACUUCCGCUCUCAUUCCCAUUUUUACUUUCACUUUCACUUUCUCACUCACCUUCCUCAUUCACUUCUACUUCCACUUCCCUCACUUUCAUGCCCGCUUCCGCUCCCACUUUUACUUUCACUUUCUCACUUUCACUUCCUCUACAUUCACGCCCACUUCCACUUCUGCUCCCAUUCCCAUUUUUACUUUCACUUUCACUUUCUCAUUCGCCUUCACUUCCUCAUUCCCUUCUAUUUCCACUUCCCUCACUCUCAGGUCCGCUUCCGCUCCCACUUUUACUUUCACUUUCACACUUCCAGUUUCACUUCCUGUACAUUCACGCCCACUUCCGCUCUCAUUCCCAUUUUUACUUUCGCUUUCACUUUCUCAUUCGCCUUCACUUCCUCGUUCCCUUCUAUUUCCACUUCCCUCACUUUCAGGUCCGCUUCCGCUCCCACUUUUACUUUCACUUUCUCACUUUCACUUCCUCUACAUUCACGCCCACUUCUGCUCCCAUUCCCAUUUUUACUUUCACUUUCACUUUCUCAUUCGCCUUCACUUCCUUGUUCACUUCUAUUUCCACUUCCCUUACAUGUCCGCUUCCGCUCCCACUUUUGCUUUCACUUUCUCACUUUCACUUUCCGCACAUUCACACCCACUUCCGCUUUCAAUCCCAUUUUUACUUUCACUUUCACUUUCUCAUUCGCCUUCACUUCCUCAUUCCCUUCUAUUUCCACUUCCCUCACAUACAUGCCCGCUUCCGCUCCCACUUUUACUUUCACUUUCUCACUUUCAGUUUCGCUUUCUCUACGUUCAUGCCUGCUUCCGCUUUUGCUCCCAUUUUUACUUUCACUUUCACUUUCUCACUCACCUUCACUUCCUCAUUCCCUUCUAUUUCCACUUCCCUUACUUUCAGGUCCGCUUCCGCUCCCACUUUUACUUUCACUUUCUCACUUUCACUUUCACUUCCUCUACAUUCACGCCCACUUCCGCUUCCACCCCCCUUCCCAUUUUUACUUUCACUUUCACUUUCUCAUUCGCCUUCACUUCCUCAUUCACUUCCACUUCCCUCACUCUCAGGUCCGCUUCCGCUCCCACUUUUACUUUCACUUUCUCAGUUUCACUUUCCCUACAUUCACGCCCACUUCCGCUUCCGCUCCCAUUCCCAUUUUUACUUUCACUUUCACUUUCUCACUUUCACUUCUUCUCCAUUCACAUCCACUUCCGCUUCCGCUCCCAUUCCCAUUUUUACUUUCACUUUCACUUUCUCACUCGCCUUCACUUCCUCAUUCACUUCCACUUCCCUCACUCU
This is a long non-coding RNA of Numida meleagris (helmeted guineafowl), 2064 nucleotides long. Lineage: Eukaryota; Metazoa; Chordata; Aves; Galliformes; Numididae. The record is from Ensembl.